AGCUUUGCACCGUGGCAGUGUCAUAGCCAAUGAGGUUUAUCCAAGGCAUGAUUAUUGCUAAUUGAAACCUUUUCCCAAUACCCCACCGUGACAACUUGCAAUAUAGUCAGCACUGGCAAUUUUUGACAGUCCCUAUGGAGA
Molecule: small nuclear RNA, 141 nt
Organism: Callithrix jacchus (white-tufted-ear marmoset)
Lineage: Eukaryota; Metazoa; Chordata; Mammalia; Primates; Cebidae
Gene: U4
Rfam family: U4 spliceosomal RNA
About the family: U4 small nuclear RNA (U4 snRNA) is a component of the major U2-dependent spliceosome. The structure of U4 snRNA from yeast and human has been reported.
Source: Ensembl